This is a long non-coding RNA of Leptidea sinapis, 4033 nucleotides long. RefSeq lists it as uncharacterized. The transcript is spliced from 2 exons. NCBI's taxonomy places the organism in Eukaryota, Metazoa, Arthropoda, Insecta, Lepidoptera, Pieridae. The record is from RefSeq and is a predicted model, not a curated record.
UUUUUUUAGAUAAAAAAUACCUACCUAUCUACUACUCUAACAACAUUUUUUUGCAUUAUAAUAUAAGACAAUAUUAUAUACUUAAAAUAAAAGAUAGAUUUGCUCAGAUAAGAAUAAUAUAUACUCAUUAGCUCAUACUUGAACUGUAAAACUGACUGCUAGAGACAACUUUCUUUGGAAUUCAAUUGGUUAGGUAGUUAACAAAUUGGUAACUCAACUAAUACAACAAGAAACGAAGUGACAAUGACAAAGAAACAAAAUGAUCUGUCGGACUGUAAUUGUCAAAGUGAAGUUAGUGUUAAGGAAUGAAGGGUUACCAAAGAAAGAAACGAUAACAACCCAGCACAACCAACUGUAGAAACCCAAACCGACUCCCUUAAGAUGAUUGAACAUAUAUUCUCAAAGAAAUCUGAAAAUAUUGACCUUGUCCUCCAACAAAUGAGUACUUUACUCCAACUCAUAACAUCAUUAAUCUCCAGAUUGGCCCAGUGGCUAUUCUAAAGAUGGCCACCUGGAACAUUAAUGGACUUGCCCACAACACACAUGAAGUAGAAGUACUACUUCAUAUGCAUAAAUUUGACAUAUUAUUAAUAGCAGAGACCCAUUUUGACAGUAAUAGCUUAGUUAAAAUAAGAGGAUAUGAUACUUAUUCAACAAAUCAUCCAGAUACAACGGCUCAUGGAGGAACUGCAGUUAUUAUUAAAUCAACCAUUAGACAUCAUGAGCAGCCAAAAUUUUGCACAGACUACAUCCAGGCUACUUCUGUUUCAGUCUCAGAUGUGUGUGACCUGUACCGAGUUAUACUCUACUGAAACGUCCGGGCAACUAGAGCGGCUUUUUUCUUUAGACAGUCAAACGUCCAGGCAACCAGAGUGGCCCAGUCGACUUGCGUAUUUAUUUUGUGUUAUAAUCUGUAGUAUGAGAGAAUUAGCUUGUCAAAUACGAUUUUUAAGACUCUAUGGUAAGAAAUUGUAAUAGGCUUAUCUUUAAAUAUCAAGUAUCCGAGCAAAAAUUAAAAGAAAUAAUUAAUUGAAAAUCGGUUUGCGGGGGGAAUUGUCAUUUGUUUAUUUUUGUAGUGUCAAGUGUUUUGUUAUUGUUUUGUUUAUCAUGUAAGUGUAAUAUUUUAAUUACGUAUUAUAUUUGUUUUAUAUAUGAAAUUAAUCCUCAUGAUAUCUAGUUUCCGAUUUUAUCUACAAAUUACAUAUAAAAUUCUUCUUACGACAUUAAAUCGACAAGUUAUAACAGUAUGAUCGAUACUACUUUAUCGAUUUGGUUUAAAUAUCAAAUUUUUAUUGUAAUCCAAUUAAUUAACAGUAAAUCAUUGCUUGUAAUAGGGACAAAAUAUCAUUAAUAUAAUGUUUAUAAUAUUCAACAAUCUGGAUGUAUUGAGACAACCAAGUAUUUCACGUUUUACUUGUGCAUUCCGCAGAUAAAUUGUAGGUAUAUACUAAGAAUGGGUGCUUUAUUUUAGUUUAAUGCAACAAUCCCGUAAGUCGAAGUAAUGACAUAUUAAUAUCAAAAAAUAGGUUAUAUAGUCUAUUUCAAUAAUAAUCAAGUUGUAUUAAUGUGUGCGCUAAUAUUUUACAUAAAAACUUAAUAUAAUGAAAAUGUUAUCACAUUUCUACCUAUAAUCUCGAGCUUUAACCUUUUAUUUAUAUAUAACUUGGGUUCAAAAACAUAAUUUAUGAUUUUACACGUUGAUUUUCUAUACUUUUAACUACGUGAAUGUAUUUUUUAUAUAGCCAUAGGUGGAGUCGUUAUGUAAUUAUAUCGCUUUUAAUAAUGAUGAAUCUCGCGCUCGCCGUCGGAUAAUCUUAAUCGCGUCAUCGGACGUUUCGCUACCUGCCAGCUGUCAUUAAUCGGACGUUGCAAUAGUUAGAUAAGCUUACACUUAUUUUUUUUAAUUAUUUUGAUAUCGUAAUUAUGAUCAUUCGUAUCUUACUGAACAGUUUAUUCAAUUGAAACAACGAACUUCGCUCGUGACGGAAAUCUCCCGAUCACUUAUUUCCUUUUUUAAUUUAUAAUAAUAUUACAAGAAAGGCAUACUUUAAAGAUAUAUAUAUUUUUAUAGAUCAAAGUACGAGAUAUCGGUUCGGCAAAAUCAGCAUCCGGUUGAUUCCAUAAAGUGUCUAUGCGUGUCAAAAAUUUCUUGAAAGACAUGCGGUUAUGUUUCGUCAACGUGAUGCGGGUGGUAUUUUGCAUGUUGACGUAAAUUUUUACUUAUUAAAGAUGUAAAGUAUUACAUUGAAUUAAAAUUUAAUUAAAAAGUGGACGGAAGUUACUGGUUUGCUCUCCACGGGACAGUGAGCCCUCCAGAGGAAUCAAUAAAUUAAAGGUGGCUCCAAACGGAAAUAUCCCAAUCGCUGAUUUGCUCUUUAAUUUUUUAAUAAUAUUAUAAGAUAGACAUAUAUUUUUAUCAUCGGAUUCCGAAUAAUAAAAUUAUAAAAAUAACUUGUCUUAUUAUUUCUACUCAAUACUUUUCGUUCACUAUAUCAAAACCAUUAAGUUCAUUCGUGCGAUUAUCUCCAACUCUAUGAAUUGGUUCUCUGUACGCCAUAUUUGUUUACUAUUUAAGACGAGUAAGAAAAAUUAGACUCUAGGCACAGUUGACAUGUUAUACGUAUUUUUUACAUACAGUAGUUUAAAUACAGUGAAGUUUAUAUAAUCUUUAAAAACUUCCAGGCUACAAAGGAAUAUGUUUAGUACCAAAAUUGACAGAAGGUGAAAUUUGCCUCGAAAUUGUUCAGCCAAACGGUGGCAUAAAAUAUGGGCUAUCUUGCAGUUAACACAUCAUUCCAGAGGAAGCAAAAAAUACUGCUGAUAUUAUAUUGUUCUUUGAUCAACUAUUUGAUUCAGUCAAUGGAAGUCAUGGGAAAAGAAAUGUGUACGCCAAGCCCCUGCUAGGACCUGCGACACCAUCUUCUAUACACCAUAAAACAUGGAGUCCAUAAAAUUCCUUAAGGAAAUGAAAUUUAUUCAUUGUAAACUAUUAAAUAAUGAAUAUGUUCCAACAAUAAAUAUUUGGAUAUGGACACUAGGAGGUAUAAAAAUAUUAUUGAACAAGCUGGUAUCAAAAUAUAAUAUAAAAUCAGUAUGGUUGCGGCAUCUGAAUCAAGAUACAAUAGAAAACUUUUUUGGGUCCAUCAGGAGCUAUGGAUUGCUUAUUAAUAGCCUGUCUAGUGUCCAUGCUGGAGCUAAUUGUGAUGUGGAUAAUUGUUACAUCACACAGGCGGUUGCAGCAAAGUCCAUAGAAAUGUACAUCUACAAAAUAUUCCAGAUAUCACAUUCACACCUCUUGAAGAAAAAAACGACCCAAGAAAAAUUGGAGGGCUGCAAUACGUUAGUGGAUAUUUUAUUAAUUGUGCUAAGGCAAAAGUCUUCAAGGGGUGUGAUGAAUGCAAAAAAAAAAUUAUGUCUGAGGAUGAGCCUGAGUAUUUAAGAUACAGGGAAUAUGUAAUUCACAAAGAAAAUUUAAUAGAUUUCUUAAUUAAAAUAUCCUGCAGAUACUUCAUAUACAACUACUGUAAAGAUAUCAAUAAAAUUUUAGUCAACAAGAAAGAGUGUGAUGAUGAUACAGAUUUGCAUAAAAUAAAGGUGAAGAAAAUGUUUAAUAAAUAUUUCAUUUAAAAAAACAUUGAUAUCCAAAAUGAACAUUGUUUCAUUAAUUAUUACUUUUCGGUGAACAUUACAAAUUAAAUCAAAAUAAUAAGCAGCUAUAGCUAGCUAGGUUGUUGGUAUAUGUAAACGUAUACCUGUAUAGAUGAUAGAUAUAACUCCAGAACAAAUCUUUAGAGGGCGACACUUACCGUUACUGGUUUAGAUCGCGGAGUUAGACCUCUAUUUCAGUUUUAAUAUAAGGUACUGUGUAUAAUAUUUAUUCAACUAAAACUCACUUCAAGUUAAUACGACUCUAUUAUUGUCUGCAUAACAAACAUUUGUAUUAAUAUUGUCUCCAUCAUUUAACACGACAUCAAAAACAAUUCCAAAGCAAUCAAUUUUGUGAAAAUAAAUGCCUUUUAUGCAAAAAAACGUU